This 777-nucleotide ribosomal RNA is filed under the name uncultured Neocallimastigales. RNAcentral describes it as "partial large subunit ribosomal RNA". It matches the Rfam family "Eukaryotic large subunit ribosomal RNA", at positions 23 to 621 of the family's 3401-position model. Lineage: Eukaryota; Fungi; Neocallimastigomycota; Neocallimastigomycetes; Neocallimastigales. The record is from RNAcentral.
GAGACUCUGUGCGCGUGCAUAUCAAUAAGCGGAGGAAAAGAAACUAACAAGGAUUCCCUUAGUAACGGCGAGUGAAGCGGGAAGAGCUCAAAUUUGAAAUCUUCAAGGUUCUACCUUGACGAAUUGUAGUUUAUAGAAGUGUUUUCUGUUAGUAGAGUGGCAAAAGUUCUUUGGAAUAGGACAUCAUAGAGGGUGAGAAUCCCGUAUUUGGUCAUUCUUUCUAGCUUUGUGAUACACUUUCAACGAGUCGGAUUGUUUGGGAAUGCAGUCCAAAAUGGGUGGUAAAUUUCAUCUAAAGCUAAAUAUUGGCGAGAGACCGAUAGCGAACAAGUACCGUGAGGGAAAGAUGAAAAGAACUUUGAAAAGAGAGUUAAACAGUACGUGAAAUUGUCAAAAGGGAAGCGUUUGACACCAGUGUUGUUUUUCCGAAAAUCAAUUACGAAUGUUUUAGUUUUUGAGGAAGUUAUGACUUCAUCGGCUUGCUCCUUUCUUUAUGAAACUUUCUUAAUGCACUUUUCGGUUAACAAGUCAACAUCAAUUUCUUUUGUUGUAAAAGGGUAUGAGGAAGGUGGCUUUCUUUUCGGAGAAAGUGUUUAUAGCCUUGUACCUCUGCAAUCGGAGAGAUUGAGGUCUGCAGCGUAGAUCCUUCGGGGUUAGAUACAUUUGUGCUAAGUUAUAGCUUUUCAUAGACAACUUGUUGACUAUGUUUAGUCUUGUAGCUUACUCGCUUACUGCUAUUUUACCUACGCUUAGGAUGUUGAACUCUAUCACACACAG